RNAcentral lists this ribosomal RNA (460 nucleotides) under uncultured bacterium. Its description in RNAcentral is "partial 16S ribosomal RNA". It matches the Rfam family "Bacterial small subunit ribosomal RNA", at positions 338 to 795 of the family's 1533-position model. The record is from RNAcentral.
CCUACGGGUGGCAGCAGUGAGGAAUAUUGGUCAAUGGACGAGAGUCUGAACCAGCCAAGUAGCGUGAAGGAUGACUGCCCUAUGGGUUGUAAACUUCUUUUAUAAAGGAAUAAAACGAGGCACGUGUGCCUUUUUGCAUGUACUUUAUGAAUAAGGAUCGGGUAACUCCGUGCCAGCAGCCGCGGUAAUACGGAGGAUCCGAGCGUUAUCCGGAUUUAUUGGGUUUAAAGGGAGCGUAGAUGGGUUGUUAAGUCAGUUGUGAAAGUUUGCGGCUCAACCGUAAAAUUGCAAUUGAUACUGGCAGUCGUGAGUACAGUUGAGGUAGGCGGAAUUCGGGGUGUAGCGGUGAAAUGCUUAGAUAUCACGAAGAACCCCGAUUGCGAAGGCAGCUUACUAAACUGUGACUGACAUUGAUGCUCGAAAGUGUGGGUAUCAAACAGGAUUAGAUACCCUAGUAGUC